GACAGAGGUGCCAAGCGUUAGGCGGAAUCACUGGGCUUAAAGCGUGUGUAGGCGGAUCGUUAAGUACCUUGUGAAAUCCCACGGCUCAACCGUGGAACUGCUGGGCAUACUGCGGGUCUUGGGCCAACUAGGGGCAGCCGGAACAAGCGGUGGAGCGGUGAAAUGCGUAGAUAUCGCUUGGAACGCCGAAGGUGAAAACAGGCUGCUGGGGUUGCGCCGACGCUGAGACACGAAAGCCAGGGGAGCAAACGGG
This 253-nucleotide ribosomal RNA is filed under the name uncultured bacterium. RNAcentral's name for it is "partial 16S ribosomal RNA". It matches the Rfam family "Bacterial small subunit ribosomal RNA", at positions 524 to 776 of the family's 1533-position model. The record is from RNAcentral.